CCUACGGGUGGCUGCAGUGGGGAAUAUUGGGCAAUGGGCGCAAGCCUGACCCAGCAACGCCGCGUGAAGGAAGAAGGCUUUCGGGUUGUAAACUUCUUUUCUCAGGGACGAAGCAAGUGACGGUACCUGAGGGAUAAGCCACGGCUAACUCCGUGCCAGGAGCCGCGGCAAUACGUAGGUGGCAAGCGUGAUGCGGAUUUACUGGGUGUAAAGGGCGUGUAGGCGGGGACGCAAGUCAGAUGUGAAAACCACGGGCUCAACCUGUGCCCUGCAUUUGAAACUGUGUUGCUUGAGUACUGGAGAGGCAGACGGAAUUCCUAGUGUAGCGGUGAAAUGCGUAGAUAUUAGGAGGAACACCAGUGGCGAAGGCGGUCUGCUGGACAGCAACUGACGCUGAGGCGCGAAGGCGUGGGGAGCAAACAGGAUUAGAUACCCUGGUAGUC
This 443-nucleotide ribosomal RNA is filed under the name uncultured bacterium. Its description in RNAcentral is "partial 16S ribosomal RNA". It matches the Rfam family "Bacterial small subunit ribosomal RNA", at positions 338 to 795 of the family's 1533-position model. The record is from RNAcentral.